Molecule: transfer RNA, 85 nt
Filed under: Sphagnurus paluster
Lineage: Eukaryota; Fungi; Basidiomycota; Agaricomycetes; Agaricales; Lyophyllaceae
Description: Tephrocybe palustris tRNA
Rfam family: tRNA
About the family: Transfer RNA (tRNA) molecules are approximately 80 nucleotides in length. Their secondary structure includes four short double-helical elements and three loops (D, anti-codon, and T loops).
Source: Rfam by way of RNAcentral
UCCCUCUUAGCUCAGUGGUAGAGCGCGUCACUAGUAUGCUGUGGUACACAUGACGAGGUCAGUCGUUCAAGUCGGCUAGAGGGAA